GAUGAAGAACGCAGCAAAAUGCGAUAAGUAAUGUGAAUUGCAGAAUUCAGUGAAUCAUCGAAUCUUUGAACGCACAUUGCGCCCCUUGGUAUUCCAUGGGGCAUGCCUGUUCGAGCGUCAUUUGUACCUUCAAGCUUUGCUUGGUGUUGGGUGUUUGUCCCUCGGGACUCGCCUUAAAGUCAUUGGCAGCCAGUGUUUUGGUUUUGAAGCGCAGCACAAGUCGCGAUUCAAGGCUAUCCGCCCGCUUCCACAAGCCUUUUUCACUUUUGACCUCGGAUCAGGUAGGGAUACCCGCUGAACUUAAGCAUAUCAAUAAGCGGAGGA
Molecule: unclassified non-coding RNA, 324 nt
Filed under: soil metagenome
Description: partial contains 5.8S ribosomal RNA, internal transcribed spacer 2, and large subunit ribosomal RNA
Rfam family: 5.8S ribosomal RNA (bases 1-120)
Source: RNAcentral